GAUGAACGCUGGCGGCGUGCCUAAUACAUGCAAGUCGAGCGAACAGACGAGGAGCUUGCUCCUCUGACGUUAGCGGCGGAGGGGUGAGGAACACGGGGAUAAACUACCUAUAAGAAUUGGAUAAAAUAGGGAAACCGGAGCUAAUACCGGAAAAUAUAUUGAACCGGAUGGUUCAAUAGUGGAAUAAGGUUUUGCUGUCACUUAUAGAUGGAUCCGCGGCGCAUUAGCUAGUGGGUAAGGUAAAGGCUUACCAAGGCAACGAUGCGUAGCCGACCCGAGAGGGACAAUGGCCACACUGGAUCAGAGACUCGGUCCAGACUCUUAGAGGAGGCAACAGUAGGGACUCUUACGCAAUGGGGCAAAGCCUGACAUAGCACCGCCGCCUGAAUGAUGAACCUCUUCUGCCGGUAAAGUUAUGUUGUCCUGAGAGUAGAAAUGUUUAUGUAACUAUGCACGUCUUGACGGUACCUAAACAGAAAGCCACGGCUAACUACGUG
This 497-nucleotide ribosomal RNA is filed under the name uncultured bacterium. Its description in RNAcentral is "partial 16S ribosomal RNA". It matches the Rfam family "Bacterial small subunit ribosomal RNA", at positions 28 to 507 of the family's 1533-position model. The record is from RNAcentral.